UYUUAUAAAUUAAGACUUGGAUGAAUGGAUUAAUGGGGCGAUUCUUUCUUAAAUUAAUUUUUAAAAAUAUUUUUUUUAGUGAAGAAACUAAGAUGAUAAUGUGGGACGAGAAGACCCUAUUAAGCUUUAUAUAAUUAUUUUGUUGGGGAAACAAAAGAAUAAAACUUCUUUUAUUAAAUUUUUUGAUAAAAAUUGAUUUAUUAUUGGUGAUAAUAGAAUAAGUUACUAUAGGGAUAACAGCAUAAUUUUUUUUAAAARUUCUUAUUAACAAAGAAGAUUAUGACCUCGAUGUUGGAUUAAAAAUAUUGUAUGAUGUAGUUGUUGUAUAAAUUAGUCUGUUCGACUAUUGAAUUUUUA
RNAcentral lists this ribosomal RNA (357 nucleotides) under Plicatoperipatus jamaicensis. Its description in RNAcentral is "partial 16S ribosomal RNA". Lineage: Eukaryota; Metazoa; Onychophora; Udeonychophora; Euonychophora; Peripatidae. The record is from RNAcentral.